This 1689-nucleotide ribosomal RNA is filed under the name Triticum aestivum (bread wheat). Its description in RNAcentral is "partial small subunit ribosomal RNA". The record is from RNAcentral. Lineage: Eukaryota; Viridiplantae; Streptophyta; Magnoliopsida; Poales; Poaceae.
AUGCCACAUGUCAUCCAUCAGGAUGGGUCUCACCUGCUAAUCCGUGAGACCUGGUCUCAUACAAUUUUUUCCCCCCGCCGCCGCCGCCGCUCCAAUCCAAUCCCGAUUCGAUUCGAUUCCGGCCGCCGCCCACCCUCUACUCUCCUCUCCGGAACGCAGGCGGCGAUGCGCGGCGGGCGCUCGGGGGGAGGGGGCGGCGGGGGGCUGCGGAACCCGUGCCUGACGAUGCACCAGCCGUGGGCGUCGCUGCUGGUGCACGGCAUCAAGCGCGUGGAGGGCCGGUCCUGGCCGUCGCCGGUGACCGGCCGCCUCUGGAUCCACGCCGCCUCCAAGGUGCCCGACCCCGACACCGUGGCCGCCAUGGAGGCCUUCUACCGGGAGAUCUACGCCGUCGACGGCGUCCACCACAUCGACUUCCCCCAGCACUACCCCGUCUCCCGCCUCCUCGGGUGCGUCGAGGUGGUCGGCUGCGUCAGGUCCGAGGAGCUCGUCUGCUGGGAGGACGUGCCUCAAUCAGUCAGGCUUGAGGGCUUGACUGACUUCUGCUGGCUUUGCGAGAAUCCACAGAAGUUGGUGGUUCCGUUCGAGAUGCGCGGUUACCAGGGCGUGUACAAUUUGGAAAGAAGGGUCUAUGAGGGAGCCGCCAGGGGUCUUUCGCAUGUUCAAGGUCCACUGCCGGUCAAGUUCCCGCUUCCAGAUCCCAGAAACCCAUUAUCUCUCAAGCCAGGGUCUCUUAAUUUCGACUCUUCAAAGUCCGCCCUGGUCAAAACUGAGAGUGUUUCUGCAGCGAUAGCUGGGGCUAGAGCUGCCGCGACUCAGUAUUCGAGGAAGGGCACUAGUGCUGCCACUAGCAGCGAGAUUCAAACUCGAGGGAAAUCAAGGGAAAAUCAUGCCGAUGGCAGUUCAGGGAGUGGUGCUCUGCCGUCUUUUGUCCAGAACAGCCCAUCCCAUCCGCAAAACCAGGAUAGAUCGCCUGUUGUCCAGAACGGUUCACCCCAUCUGCAAAACCAGGAUCCAUCCCCUGUUGUCCAGAACAGUUCAUCCCAUUCGGUAAACCAGAAUACAUUCCCUGUUGUCCAGAACAGUCCAUCCUACGCACAAACUCGGAAUUCUCAGUAUAUGGUUCAGAGCAGUCCAUCCUACUCGCAAACUCACAAUCCUCAGCAUAUGGUUCAGAGCAGUCCAUCCUACGCGCAAACUCGGAAUUCUCAGCAUAUGGUUCAGAGCAGUCCAUCCUAUUCGCAAACUCAGAAUCCUCCGUAUAUGGUGCAGAGCAGUCCAUAUUCGCAGAACACUCCAUCCUAUUUGCAGAACCAGAGUCGAUCGUCCAAUAUCCAGAGCACUCCAUUCUAUUUCCAUGACCAAUAUCAAUCGUCCAAUGUUCACAACAGUCCAUCCUACUUCCAUUAUCAGAACCAAUCCCCCACUGUCCAAAACAGUCCAUCCUAUUCUCAUGACCAGAAUCCACCAUCCAAUGUCCAGAACUACCCAUCCCAUCUGCAAAACCAUAACCCAUCUCCCGUUGCCCACAACAGUCCAUCAUUUUUGCAACACCAGAACGCCGAGCCUCGGAGAAGUCCCAGACUACAGGGUGGAGCUCCCCACAGGCUCGUCGCAGCGGCGUUGAGAGACCUGAAGCAAUCAAGCUUGCGCGAGAGCGGGGAGCAGUCGUCAGCUCCCAGAAGCUGA